This is a small nuclear RNA of Oryctolagus cuniculus (rabbit), 105 nucleotides long. Lineage: Eukaryota; Metazoa; Chordata; Mammalia; Lagomorpha; Leporidae. The record is from Ensembl.
GUACUUGCUUUGGCAGCACACUUAGUAAGGCUGGCACGACACAGAAAAGAUUACCAUGGCCACUGUGCAAGGAUGACAUGCAAAUUUGUGAAGCAUUUGUUUUUU